AAGCGCAUACGGUGGAUGCCUUGGCAGUCAGAGGCGAUGAAAGACGUGGUAGCCUGCGAUAAGCUUUGGGGAGUCGGCAAACAGACUGUGAUCCAGAGAUCUCUGAAUGGGGGAACCCAGCCAGCACAAGCUGGUUAUCUUGUACUGAAUACAUAGGUGCAAGAGGCGAACCAGGGGAACUGAAACAUCUAAGUACCCUGAGGAAAAGAAAUCAACCGAGAUUCCCUUAGUAGUGGCGAGCGAACGGGGACCAGCCCUUAAGCUGGUUUGAGAUUAGUGGAACGCUCUGGAAAGUGCGGCCAUAGUGGGUGAUAGCCCCGUACACGAAAAUCUCUUGCCAGUGAAAUCGAGUAGGACGGAGCACGAGAAACUUUGUCUGAACAUGGGGGGACCAUCCUCCAAGGCUAAAUACUACUGACUGACCGAUAGUGAACCAGUACCGUGAGGGAAAGGCGAAAAGAACCCCGGCGAGGGGAGUGAAAAAGAACCUGAAACCGUGUACGUACAAGCAGUGGGAGCACCUUCGGGUGUGACUGCGUACCUUUUGUAUAAUGGGUCAGCGACUUAUAUUCUGUAGCAAGGUUAACCGUAUAGGGGAGCCGCAGGGAAACCGAGUCUUAACUGGGCGUUAAGUUGCAGGGUAUAGACCCGAAACCCGGUGAUCUAGCCAUGGGCAGGUUGAAGGUUGGGUAACACUAACUGGAGGACCGAACCGACUAAUGUUGAAAAAUUAGCGGAUGACUUGUGGCUGGGGGUGAAAGGCCAAUCAAACCGGGAGAUAGCUGGUUCUCCCCGAAAGCUAUUUAGGUAGCGCCUCGUGAAUUCAUCUUCGGGGGUAGAGCACUGUUUCGGCUAGGGGGUCAUCCCGACUUACCAACCCGAUGCAAACUACGAAUACCGAAGAAUGUUAUCACGGGAGACACACGGCGGGUGCUAACGUCCGUCGUGAAGAGGGAAACAACCCAGACCGCCAGCUAAGGUCCCAAAGUCACAGUUAAGUGGGAAACGAUGUGGGAAGGCACAGACAGCCAGGAUGUUGGCUUAGAAGCAGCCAUCAUUUAAAGAAAGCGUAAUAGCUCACUGGUCGAGUCGGCCUGCGCGGAAGAUGUAACGGGGCUAAACUGUGCACCGAAGCUGCGGCAGCGACACUAUGUGUUGUUGGGUAGGGGAGCGUUCUGUAAGCCUGCGAAGGUGGCCUGUGAGGGUUGCUGGAGGUAUCAGAAGUGCGAAUGCUGACAUAAGUAACGAUAAUGCGGGUGAAAAGCCCGCACGCCGGAAGACCAAGGGUUCCUGUCCAACGUUAAUCGGGGCAGGGUGAGUCGACCCCUAAGGCGAGGCCGAAAGGCGUAGUCGAUGGGAAACAGGUUAAUAUUCCUGUACUUGGUGUUACUGCGAAGGGGGGACGGAGAAGGCUAUGUUAGCCGGGCGACGGUUGUCCCGGUUUAAGCAUGUAGGCGGAGGUUCCAGGUAAAUCCGGUACCUUUUAACGCUGAGGUGUGAUGACGAGGCACUACGGUGCUGAAGUAACAAAUGCCCUGCUUCCAGGAAAAGCCUCUAAGCAUCAGGUAACAUUGAAUCGUACCCCAAACCGACACAGGUGGUCAGGUAGAGAAUACCAAGGCGCUUGAGAGAACUCGGGUGAAGGAACUAGGCAAAAUGGCACCGUAACUUCGGGAGAAGGUGCGCCGGUGAGGGUGAAGCACUUGCUGCGUAAGCCCACGCCGGUCGAAGAUACCAGGCCGCUGCGACUGUUUAUUAAAAACACAGCACUGUGCAAACACGAAAGUGGACGUAU
This 1795-nucleotide ribosomal RNA is filed under the name Platyophrya macrostoma. Its description in RNAcentral is "partial Bacterial large subunit ribosomal RNA". It matches the Rfam family "Bacterial large subunit ribosomal RNA", at positions 13 to 1846 of the family's 2925-position model. The record is from RNAcentral. Lineage: Eukaryota; Ciliophora; Colpodea; Cyrtolophosidida; Platyophryidae.